GGCCUACGGGUGGCUGCAGUGGGGAAUAUUGGACAAUGGGCGCAAGCCUGAUCCAGCAAUGCCGCGUGUGUGAAGAAGGCCUGCGGGUUGUAAAGCACUUUAAGCAGGAAAGAAGGGCGGGGCGAUAAUACCGUUUCGCAUUGACGUUACCUGCAGAAUAAGCACCGGCUAACUCCGUGCCAGCAGCCGCGGUAAUACGGAGGGUGCGAGCGUUAAUCGGAAUUACUGGGCGUAAAGCGCGCGUAGGCGGUGUGAUUAGUCCGUCGUGAAAGCCCUGGGCUUAACCUGGGAACUGCGGUGGAUACUGUCGGGCUAGAGUGUGGUAGAGGGGAGUGGAAUUUCCGGUGUAGCAGUGAAAUGCGUAGAGAUCGGAAGGAACACCAGUGGCGAAGGCGGCUCCCUGGACCAACACUGACGCUGAGGUGCGAAAGCGUGGGGAGCAAACAGGAUUAGAUACCCCUGUAGUC
RNAcentral lists this ribosomal RNA (467 nucleotides) under uncultured Methylocaldum sp. Its description in RNAcentral is "bacterial SSU rRNA". It matches the Rfam family "Bacterial small subunit ribosomal RNA", at positions 335 to 795 of the family's 1533-position model. Lineage: Bacteria; Pseudomonadati; Pseudomonadota; Gammaproteobacteria; Methylococcales; Methylococcaceae. The record is from RNAcentral.